GCUUACGGCCAUACCACCCUGAGCUCACCCGAUCUCGUCUGAUUGCGGAAGCUAAGCAGGGUCGGGCCUGGUUAGUACUUGGAUGGGAGACCGCCUGGGAAUCCUUGGUACUGGAAGCU
Ribosomal RNA from Cyprinus carpio (common carp), 119 nucleotides. The record is from Ensembl. Lineage: Eukaryota; Metazoa; Chordata; Actinopteri; Cypriniformes; Cyprinidae.